Molecule: ribosomal RNA, 384 nt
Filed under: uncultured bacterium
Lineage: Bacteria
Description: bacterial SSU rRNA
Rfam family: Bacterial small subunit ribosomal RNA
Source: RNAcentral
AUUGAACGCUGGCGGCAUGCCUUACACAUGCAAGUCGAACGGCAGCGGACCUUCGGGUGCCGGCGAGUGGCGAACGGGUGAGUAAUAUAUCGGAACGUACCUUUCAGUGGGGGAUAACGUAGCGAAAGUUACGCUAAUACCGCAUAUUCUGUGAGCAGGAAAGCAGGGGAUCGCAAGACCUUGCGCUGAUUGAGCGGCCGAUAUCAGAUUAGCUAGUUGGUGAGGUAAAGGCUCACCAAGGCGACGAUCUGUAGCGGGUCUGAGAGGAUGAUCCGCCACACUGGAACUGAGGCACGGUCCAGACUCCUACGGGAGGCAGCAGUGGGGAAUUUUGGACAAUGGGCGCAAGCCUGAUCCAGCCAUGCCGCGUGAGUGAAGAAGGCC